GAUGAACGCUAGCGGCAGGCUUAAUACAUGCAAGUCGAGGGGCAGCACGGUUAGCAAUAACUGGUGGCGACCGGCGCACGGGUGCGUAACACGUAUACAAUCUACCUUAAACAGGGGAUAGCCUUUCGAAAGAGAGAUUAAUACCCCGUAAUAAAUUGAACGGCAUCGUUUGAUUUUGAAAGCUCCGGCGGUUUGAGAUGAGUAUGCGUCUGAUUAGCUAGUUGGUGAGGUAACGGCUCACCAAGGCGACGAUCAGUAGGGGAUCUGAGAGGACUAACCCCCACACUGGUACUGAGACACGGACCAGACUCCUACGGGAGGCAGCAGUAAGGAAUAUUGGUCAAUGGAGGCAACUCUGAACCAGCCAUGCCGCGUGCAGGAUGACGGCCCUAUGGGUUGUAAAGCUCUUUUGCCAGGGAAGAUGAUGACUGUACCUGGAGAAUAAGCCCCGGGCUAAACUUCGUGCCAGCAGCCGCGGUAAU
This 482-nucleotide ribosomal RNA is filed under the name uncultured bacterium. RNAcentral describes it as "bacterial SSU rRNA". It matches the Rfam family "Bacterial small subunit ribosomal RNA", at positions 28 to 524 of the family's 1533-position model. The record is from RNAcentral.